AACGUAGGAGGCAAGCGUUAUCCGGAUUUACUGGGCGUAAAGCGCGUGCAGGCGGUUCGGUAAGUUGGAUGUGAAAGCUCCCGGCUCAACUGGGAGAGGUCGUUCAAUACUGCUGGACUUGAGGAUGGUAGAGGGAGGUGGAAUUCCGGGUGUAGUGGUGAAAUGCGUAGAUAUCCGGAGGAACACCAGUGGCGAAAGCGGCCUCCUGGACCAUUUCUGACGCUCAGACGCGAAAGCUAGGGGAGCAAAC
RNAcentral lists this ribosomal RNA (250 nucleotides) under uncultured bacterium. RNAcentral's name for it is "partial 16S ribosomal RNA". It matches the Rfam family "Bacterial small subunit ribosomal RNA", at positions 524 to 773 of the family's 1533-position model. The record is from RNAcentral.